AGAGUUUGAUCAUGGCUCAGGACGAACGCUGGCGGCGUGCUUAACACAUGCAAGUCGAACGGUAAGGCCCUUCGGGGUACACGAGUGGCGAACGGGUGAGUAACACGUGGGUGAUCUGCCCUGCACUUUGGGAUAAGCCUGGGAAACUGGGUCAAAUACCGAAUAGGACUCCGGACUGCAUGGUCUGGGGUGGAAAGCUUUUGCGGUGUGGGAUGGGCCCGCGGCCUAUCAGCUUGUUGGUGGGGUGAUGGCCUACCAAGGCGACGACGGGUAGCCGGCCUGAGAGGGUGACCGGCCACACUGGGACUGAGAUACGGCCCAGACUCCUACGGGAGGCAGCAGUGGGGAAUAUUGCACAAUGGGCGCAAGCCUGAUGCAGCGACGCCGCGUGGGGGAUGACGGCCUUCGGGUUGUAAACCUCUUUCACCAGGGACGAAGCGCAAGUGACGGUACCUGGAGAAGAAGGACCGGCCAACUACGUGCCAGCAGCCGCGGUAAUACGUAGGGUCCGAGCGUUGUCCGGAAUUACUGGGCGUAAAGAGCUCGUAGGUGGUUUGUCGCGUUGUCCGUGAAAACUCACAACUCNAUUGUGGGCGUGCGGGCGAUACGGGCAGACUGGAGUACUGCAGGGGAGACUGGAAUUCCUGNUGUAGCGGUGGAAUGCGCANAUAUCAGGAGGAACACCGGUGGCGAAGGNGGGUCUCUGGGCAGUAACUGACGCUGAGGAGCGAAAGCGUGGGGAGCGAACAGGAUUANAUACCCUGGNAGUCCACGCCGUAAACGGUGGGUACUAGGUGUGGGUUUCCUUCCU
Molecule: ribosomal RNA, 811 nt
Filed under: uncultured bacterium
Lineage: Bacteria
Description: bacterial SSU rRNA
Rfam family: Bacterial small subunit ribosomal RNA
Source: RNAcentral